This 153-nucleotide microRNA precursor is filed under the name Citrus sinensis (sweet orange). RNAcentral describes it as "miR3627a stem-loop (csi-MIR3627a)". The record is from miRBase by way of RNAcentral. Lineage: Eukaryota; Viridiplantae; Streptophyta; Magnoliopsida; Sapindales; Rutaceae.
GCAGGAGAGAGAGGGGGGCUACAGGGAUUCUUGUCGCCGGAGAGAUAGCACCUACUACCUCUUAAUUGCAUUAACUAAGUUGUGCAUAAAUAACGCCGUAAGCGCCAUCUCCCGGUGACAAGACUCCCUUCAUCCUCUAUAUAUAUAUAUCAA